Molecule: long non-coding RNA, 157 nt
Organism: Pipistrellus kuhlii (Kuhl's pipistrelle)
Lineage: Eukaryota; Metazoa; Chordata; Mammalia; Chiroptera; Vespertilionidae
Exons: 5
Source: RefSeq, a predicted model, not a curated record
CUGGGUGGGAGGUGGUAGGAGGUCCAAGGAAGCCGAGGACACUGUCCAGCUCCUACGCCCGCGGCUUGCACACGUUCAUGCAUUCGUAUGUGUGCGCAGACGCCCACAGAAGCGGCAUGCAGGCCAGGGGUCCCAGGCCAGGGCUCAUGUGGCAGGA